This 547-nucleotide ribosomal RNA is filed under the name uncultured bacterium. RNAcentral's name for it is "bacterial SSU rRNA". It matches the Rfam family "Bacterial small subunit ribosomal RNA", at positions 358 to 916 of the family's 1533-position model. The record is from RNAcentral.
GGAAUAUUGGGCAAUGGGCGCAAGCCUGACCCAGCGACGCCGCGUGAGGGAUGAAGGUCUUCGGAUUGUAAACCUCUUUCAGUAGGGAAGAAGCGAAAGUGACGGUACCUAAAGAAGAAGCACCGGCUAACUAUGUGCCAGCAGCCGCGGUAAUACAUAGGGUGCAAGCGUUGUCCGGAAUUAUUGGGCGUAAAGAGCUCGUAGGUCGUUUGUCGCGUCGAUUGUGAAAAUCUGAGGCUCAACCUCAGACCUGCAGUCGAUACGGGCAAACUAGAGUGUGGUAGGGGAGACUGGAAUUCCUGGUGUAGCGGUGGAAUGCGCAGAUAUCAGGAGGAACACCAAUGGCGAAGGCAGGUCUCUGGGCCAUAACUGACACUGAGGAGCGAAAGUGCGGGGAGCGAACAGGAUUAGAUACCCUGGUAGUCCGCACCGUAAACGGUGGGCACUAGUUGUGGGAACCUUCCACGGUUUCCGCGACGCAGCAAACGCAUUAAGUGCCCCGCCUGGGGAGUACGAUCGCAAGAUUAAAACUCAAAUGAAUUGACGG